GAAUGUGAGGGUGAUCUGGCUGCGACAUCUGUCACCCCAUUGAUCGCCAGGGGUAACUGGGCUGAUCUGGCUGGCUAGGUGGGUGUCCACUUCCUCCCUCAUCGCUCCAUGCGCAUCCCUUCCAAAGCUGCACACUGGGUGAAAGAGGACGACCAUCCCCGAUAGAGGAGGACCGAUCUUGGUUCAAGGGUAUACAAGUAGCUGUGCUCCCCUGCUAGAACCUCCAAACAAGCCCUCAAAAGAAAAUAAACUGUAAACAAAUAUUGAACUCUAGUUAAUAAUAUGCCCACUGAAGUGUUUAGAAGUAUACCAGGCGUCUGCAAUCGACUUUAAAAU
Unclassified non-coding RNA from Gorilla gorilla gorilla (western lowland gorilla), 336 nucleotides. Its record names the gene 7SK. It matches the Rfam family "7SK RNA". Rfam says of the family: 7SK was discovered as an abundant small nuclear RNA in the mid-70s but a possible function has only recently been suggested. Two independent studies have found that 7SK RNA binds the CDK9/cyclin T complex (known as elongation factor P-TEFb). Lineage: Eukaryota; Metazoa; Chordata; Mammalia; Primates; Hominidae. The record is from Ensembl.